This 513-nucleotide ribosomal RNA is filed under the name Escherichia coli. RNAcentral describes it as "bacterial SSU rRNA". It matches the Rfam family "Bacterial small subunit ribosomal RNA", at positions 999 to 1512 of the family's 1533-position model. RNAcentral also lists the same sequence under 1 other name. Lineage: Bacteria; Pseudomonadati; Pseudomonadota; Gammaproteobacteria; Enterobacterales; Enterobacteriaceae. The record is from RNAcentral.
UUCAGAGAUGAGAAUGUGCCUUCGGGAACCGUGAGACAGGUGCUGCAUGGCUGUCGUCAGCUCGUGUUGUGAAAUGUUGGGUUAAGUCCCGCAACGAGCGCAACCCUUAUCCUUUGUUGCCAGCGGUCCGGCCGGGAACUCAAAGGAGACUGCCAGUGAUAAACUGGAGGAAGGUGGGGAUGACGUCAAGUCAUCAUGGCCCUUACGACCAGGGCUACACACGUGCUACAAUGGCGCAUACAAAGAGAAGCGACCUCGCGAGAGCAAGCGGACCUCAUAAAGUGCGUCGUAGUCCGGAUUGGAGUCUGCAACUCGACUCCAUGAAGUCGGAAUCGCUAGUAAUCGUGGAUCAGAAUGCCACGGUGAAUACGUUCCCGGGCCUUGUACACACCGCCCGUCACACCAUGGGAGUGGGUUGCAAAAGAAGUAGGUAGCUUAACCUUCGGGAGGGCGCUUACCACUUUGUGAUUCAUGACUGGGGUGAAGUCGUAACAAGGUAACCGUAGGGGAACC